This is a long non-coding RNA of Oncorhynchus keta (chum salmon), 578 nucleotides long. RefSeq lists it as uncharacterized. Lineage: Eukaryota; Metazoa; Chordata; Actinopteri; Salmoniformes; Salmonidae. The transcript has 3 exons. The record is from RefSeq and is a predicted model, not a curated record.
GAGGUGGUCUCCACUGAUAUAUCCCUUAAACAAUGUAAUAUGGUGUCUCCUAUUGCCCUGAAAGAGGUGGUCUCCACUGAUAUAUCCAUUAAACAAUGUAAUAUGGUGUCUCCUAUUGCCCUGAAAGAGGUGGUCUCCACUGAUAUAUCCAUUAAACAAUGUAUUAUGGUGUCUCUUAUUGCCCUGAAAGAGGUGGUCUCCACUGAUAUAUCCCUUAAUGUAUUAUGGUGUCUCCUAUUGUCCUGAAAGAGGUGGUCUCCACUGAUAUAUCCCUUAAUGUAUUAUGGUGUCUCCUAUUGUCCUGAAAGAGGUGGUCUCCCCUGAUAUAUCCCUUAAUGUAAUAUGGUGUCUCCUAUUGACCUGGAAGAGGUGGUCUCCACUGAUAUCCAUUAAACAAUGUAAUAUGGUGUCUCCUAUUGCCCUGAAAGAGGUGGUCUCCACUGAUAUAUCCAUUAAACAAUGUAAUAUGGUGUCUCCUAUUGACCUGGAAGAGGUGGUCUCCAGUGAUAUAUCCAUUAAACAAUGUAAUAUGGUGUCUCCUAUUGCUCAGGAAGAGGUGGUCUCCACUGAUAUAUCCA